AUGGCUCCCAGGAAGAAGCGCAAGAGUGCGCCGCCGGAGACGGUGAGCACCACCGUCCACGACCUCCCCGACAGUCUCCUACAGUACGUGCUCUCCUUCCUCCCAGCGCAGGCGGCUGUUCGGACGUGCGUGCUCGCCCGGCGCUGGCGCCACCUUUGGAGGUCCACCACAGGCCUGCGCAUCGUAGGCCUUGAUGACGAUGAGGAGAAUGUCCCAGUCCAAGACCUCCGGAAAUUCGUGGAACAUCUGCUGAUGCUGCGCGAGCGCACCGACCUAGAAAGUGUUGAGAUGAAAUUCUACAGUUGCUCUGAAGGCGAAAUGCCCUAUGUGAAUCUAUGGAUCCGUUUUGCUGUGAUUUGCAAAGUUCGGGUGCUCACCCUUCAUAUCCUUGAGGAUGAUUACCUCCCCCUAGACGACCUGCCUCUUGUGUCUCUGCACCUGAAAACAUUGGACCUUUAUGGUCUAAUCCUAGAAAAGAGCUUUCUUGAUUUUGCUAGCUGUCCAGCAUUGGAGAAUCUGAAGAUGAAUGAUUGCAAAAUCAAUGGUUGGAAGAUAUCGUCCCUUUCCCUAAAGCAUUUGAGCAUCACUAGUUGCUUCUGUGACCCAGAUUCCCGGCUCAGGAUUUCCACUCCAGGCCUUGUCUCUUUGAAACUAGAUUGCUUUGUGGGUAAAACCCCUUUUCUUGAAAACAUGCCGUUGCUAUAG
RNAcentral lists this ribosomal RNA (705 nucleotides) under Triticum aestivum (bread wheat). RNAcentral's name for it is "partial small subunit ribosomal RNA". Lineage: Eukaryota; Viridiplantae; Streptophyta; Magnoliopsida; Poales; Poaceae. The record is from RNAcentral.